Molecule: long non-coding RNA, 667 nt
Organism: Rhinopithecus roxellana (golden snub-nosed monkey)
Lineage: Eukaryota; Metazoa; Chordata; Mammalia; Primates; Cercopithecidae
Exons: 2
Source: RefSeq, a predicted model, not a curated record
GGGCGGGGCGACUAGGGGCGGCCCCGGGGGCAGGGGCGCAGACCGUCCGGCCUCCUGUGGAUUCGGCGCCCGACCCGCUGCCGCCGUGGGGGCGCGGCUGGGCCGGCUGGCUUGGGGGGCGGCCGGCUGCGCCCGCGCCCUUCGAGCUCUGAGUGCGGUGGCUCCACGAGAUCCAGUCCACGCUCCGCGAGCGGCGGCCAGAGCGCGCCCGGCAGCUGCUGCCGCUCCUGCGCCAGGACCUUGAGGGGACCCUCCUUACUGACAUCCUCUACAGAGAUGUGGCCUUCCUCAACCUGGUCGACCCCAUCUCCCAUGACCUGCUUGUGAACCGGGCCACCACCCCUGCCUCCACCUGGGACUCCACAGCUGCUGGGCUGGGACCCGAACCCCAGGCCUGCUGCGCCAGGUGACCCACCACCCGCCUGGCUCAUUGCUACUGACUUGUGAUGCUCUCAAGCACAUGGUAGUGGGCGAUGAAGGUCAAGGAGGACUCACAGGCCCCCAGAGAUCCAGUGCAAAUGCUCAGCCUGAGAUUAAGGGGACAGAAGGAGAAUGGACUCAUAGGAGGCCAGGAGGCCAGCCCCUGGCUAGAGGCUCAGCCUUCCCUCAGUGGGAGGAGCCCCAACACCCAUAGGGUAUGGACCCCAAAAUAAAGAGUGACACCCGC